UACGUAGGGGGCAAGCGUUGUCCGGAUUUAUUGGGCGUAAAGAGCGUGUAGGCGGUUUGGUAGGUCCGCUGUGAAAACUCGGGGCUCAACCUCGAGACGCCGGUGGAAACCAUCAGACUAGAGUCCGGAAGAGGAGAGUGGAAUUCCUGGUGUAGCGGUGAAAUGCGCAGAUAUCGGGAAGAACACCCGUGGCGAAGGCGGCACUCUGGGACGGUACUGACGCUGAGACGCGAAAGCGUGGGGAGCGAACAGG
Molecule: ribosomal RNA, 253 nt
Filed under: uncultured bacterium
Lineage: Bacteria
Description: partial 16S ribosomal RNA
Rfam family: Bacterial small subunit ribosomal RNA
Source: RNAcentral